RNAcentral lists this ribosomal RNA (1302 nucleotides) under Triticum aestivum (bread wheat). RNAcentral's name for it is "partial small subunit ribosomal RNA". Lineage: Eukaryota; Viridiplantae; Streptophyta; Magnoliopsida; Poales; Poaceae. The record is from RNAcentral.
AUGACGCACACAUGGUUGCUUCAUGUGGACUCGUUCAAGCUAGCUGGGCGGAAGUCAUCAUCCAGAGAAAUGUCAUGCAUACUCAUGGCACGGUGCUCUUCUUCUUCCUUCAUGUAUUAUUGCGCUCGAGCCCCACUGGUCACUCAUUCGUCCUCCCCUUUUCCUUCGCACGUACGUCUCCUUCCCCCCUCUUCCUUUACAGGCACGUAUUCUCCUCCCCUCUUCUGCUUGUUCCCCUUCCUCCUCCGGCUGCAUCCUCGCGACGCAGCAGUUCGCCCUUCUCCCUCGUUAGCCGCCGCUGGGUCUUCCCACUGGAGAUGGAGGAGUAGGGGGUUCUGCCAGAUCCGAGGCGUGUGGACGUGGCGGCGAGCGUCUCCAACAGCGGCGGCGACCUGCAGACAAAGGGCGGCGGGGAGCGGCGCCUCCACCUCUCUCCUCCUCAUCUCCUUGCGCGCAGUGCUUUGGGGUUUCUGUUGGGACAAGGAGAGGAUCUGUGAUGCGCACAUCACUAGGUUGCACCACUACCCAAGCGACGGCUUCGCAGAUGAGCUGCUGGAGAUCGCCAAGGCCACCUGGGGCAAAGAAACAGUGAGGUUCCAUCCUUCCUUCUUCAAAAUUCAUCUCAUGUUUUACCUUCUUGAUUUCUCCAACAUCACUUGUGUGGAUGCCCAUAGAAUUUUCAGUCCAGUUGUUUUUCGACUUAGCAGAAUUAAUAUGUUGAUGGAAGGGGAAGCCAUCAAUUUCGGGGAAAAUGCCCACAGGGACAACACCAUUAGGCAUGAUAACUUAAUCAAUUUGUUGGACAAUGAACAUGUUUUAAGAAGAAAAGUGGAUAUUAAGCUUAAGGAUGGCGAUUAUAUGUCUAUUUCUAUACUGUCACGCAGGCUUUCUUUGACCUGGAGAAUGGCAACCAGGAGCUCAAGAGUGACAAGGACGUCUAUAUCAACACUUCAAUGGGCCGACGGCGUGCGGUGGGCUGAAUGGAAUGGAAAGUACAGAGAUGAUAUUCGAAGAUUCAUCAAGAACAGUUCAUUGUUGGAAGAAGUAGCUGGUGCUGAAAGGAUCUCCAGGAGCCGAUGCAUCUCUUCAUAUUUUUGUGUACUACAAGUAGUUGGGGGCCUGCUAAAUCUCAGAGAAGGCUCUAUCUGCAUCAGGGAAGGCUCUAUCUCAGAGAAGGCUCUAUCUAGCAGCUGCUGGAAUCCUUGUUCUCUAUCUUCCGUUUUUACAUCUAUAUUUUCAUAUUUGACACCUCAAAUUUCAAAUAACUAUAAUUUGGUAUUUGACCUGCACGGAUUUUAUUGA